UUUGAAAAACAAUGUUUCCAUUUCCUGAAAACUAAAGGGACACCGGAAUCCCAAGGGAGCACGGGAAACCUGCCGGUGUGUAAAGAAAGGGCCGACUGAAGCCAGGAGGGGGAAGGGGAGCAUCGUACAGAGGCGGGUCAAAGCAGCCCUACCACGGCCCGCUGAGGGACCGUUGCAUAACAUCAAACCAGGCGAUUUCGUGUUGGUGAAAAACCUGAGGAGGAAAUCCUGGAAGGCCAGACGGUGGGAAGGUCCGUUUCAGGUUCUGCUGACGACUCACACCGCUGUGAAGGUCGCGGAGCGUGCCACAUGGAUGCACGCUGCCCAUUGCCGGAGGGUUGGUCCUGGACUGCAAGGUGUAAACCAAAGGGAGGACGGCUAGUCGAC
This is a non-coding RNA of Paramisgurnus dabryanus, 387 nucleotides long. Lineage: Eukaryota; Metazoa; Chordata; Actinopteri; Cypriniformes; Cobitidae. The record is from RefSeq and is a predicted model, not a curated record.